GGGGAUGAUCGGUUUCGACAUCGCCUGCGAAACUGCGAGAAGCGGGCCGAGGAUGCAGGGUUAUCUCGUUAACGAUCCCCGCAAACAACAGGUGCCAAUCUCAAGCGCACCGACGUUGCUCUUGCUGCGUAAGCAGUAGAGCUCAGAACGUCCGUCAGACCGGGUUUGCCUUCGCCCCGGACCCUGGCGUCAUCUAGAGGGCUUGCUGGUCAGUUGUGUUUCAGGGCUGAUCGGGACUUUCACUGAUACUGGGCUCGUCGAUCUAGAUGCUCGUGGCAAAGAUCGGAGCCGAGCAGAACGCCUUUCACGAGCUGCGCCCGGAGAAGGCGCAGGCUCACAGCGAUGGACGGGGGUUCAAUUCCCCCCAUCUCCACCA
This 376-nucleotide transfer-messenger RNA is filed under the name Actinomycetota bacterium. It matches the Rfam family "transfer-messenger RNA". Rfam says of the family: Bacterial tmRNA, also known as 10Sa RNA or SsrA, is named for its dual tRNA and mRNA-like properties. Its role is to liberate the mRNA from a stalled ribosome. The record is from RNAcentral. Lineage: Bacteria; Bacillati; Actinomycetota.